RNAcentral lists this ribosomal RNA (510 nucleotides) under uncultured bacterium. RNAcentral's name for it is "bacterial SSU rRNA". It matches the Rfam family "Bacterial small subunit ribosomal RNA", at positions 28 to 524 of the family's 1533-position model. The record is from RNAcentral.
GACGAACGCUGGCGGUGUGCUUAACACAUGCAAGUGGUGCGACGAACCAGAGCUUGCUCUGGGGCAAAGCCGCGAACGGGUGAGUAACACGUGGGUAAUCUACCCCGAUGACCGGGACAACCCGAGGAAACUCGGGCUAAUACCGGAUGUGGUACGGAGACAUAAGUCUCUUUACUAAAGGUAGCUUCGGCUUCCGCAUUGGGAGGGGCCCGCGGCCCAUUAGCUAGUUGGUGGGGUCAAGGCCUACCAAGGCAACGAUGGGUAGCUGGUCUGAGAGGACGAUCAGUCACACUGGGACUGAGACACGGCCCAGACUCCUACGGGAGGCAGCAGUGGGGAAUCUUGCGCAAUGCGCGAAAGCGUGACGCAGCAACACCGCGUGAGGGAAGACGGCCUUAGGGUUGUAAACCUCUUUCAGAUGGGACGAAGGUGAUGCGGUGAAUAGCCGAUGUCAUUGACGGUACCGUCAGAAGAAGCUCCGGCUAACUACGUGCCAGCAGCCGCGGUAAU